This is a long non-coding RNA of Hylaeus volcanicus, 5484 nucleotides long. RefSeq lists it as uncharacterized. The record is from RefSeq and is a predicted model, not a curated record. NCBI's taxonomy places the organism in Eukaryota, Metazoa, Arthropoda, Insecta, Hymenoptera, Colletidae. The transcript is spliced from 3 exons.
CCAAGCUGUUAUCUCUCGGGGAGAGGUAUUUCCUGCGCGUAGGUACAACGAUCGCGGACGAUAACGAGAACGAAGCUACGGGCCGAGCUUGACAAUGUCGCGUUUUGCAACCAGCCACGCGCGGAAUUUUAAUUCGAUGCACGGCAACAGUUUUCGCGAACGUGGAAAUUAAUGGAAGAAUGUCGCGCGACGGAUAAUACGUGAAAGUAACGAUGGGUCCUCCGCGGGGACGUGAAAGUUACAAUGAUGCUUCGGAACCCCUGCGUUCAAAGCGACCUCCGGGACCUGCUCAUUAGUUAAUUUAAAAAAAUUUUAAUGUUAAGUGGAAAUGUGAGAAUAUUUUAUUGGUAAUUGAAGAAUUGCGUGGGGGGGUGUUUGUUUUACUUUGUGGGAAUUACUUGUUCCCAAUUGAGGAAGGAAAUUGAACAAAUUACGAAGUCGUUAAUGCUGCAUUUUCUACAGGCUUUGAUAACGAUUAUUGAAAUGGGGAUGUAAUUACAUUGAUAAAUUGAUUUGACCUUCUCUCUUUCAUUUUUAAUGGAGAAAGUAAGUAUCCCUAUAUGAAAUAACAUAGUGCAGCUUUGGAACCAUGGUAUCUAUAUGAAUCUUUAGACAAAAAGACAUAUUUCAACUUAAAAAUCAAAAUUUUCUAAUAUAAUGAAGUAUAAGAUAUACUGAAAGUCCCUUUUUUAAAUUCCAGUCUUACGUUUGGUCUUUUAUUGUCUCAACUUGCACCAUUUGGUACACCUAUUUUUCCUCUACAAAUCCUGCUUAUAGCUUCCUUUAGGUACUCUUAUUUUAUACUAUAUACAUUAUUCUUUCAUUUAUUUUUGCUACAUUUGAAUGAAUUUCCACUGAACGGAAAACUUCAAGAAAACAUGCAUCAUCGAGAAAUUUGCACUCACGUAAGUUUGUCCUGUAUAAUCAAUAACUUCGGUGUACCUACAAUGUCUCUUCAGAUGCAAAAUGCCGAAUGCCUGGAUAAUUACGAGGCUCAAAUACUGACAAGUUGCGCGCUGUCCGCGUCAGGUGCUGAUCCGUCACACGAUAAGAAGUAAUUGCUUUUCGUACGGGUGCGCAACGUAGCGUCGGGACGCUUUUUCAAUGUCAGCGAGUCGCAGCGUCGCCCGAAAACCGAAGGAGACGGCGCCCGUGUCCUUCGUGGAUAAUUGGUUGUGCUCCCCUGAUUGAUUUAUUCGCGGCAAAGUAAAAAGAAACGUAAUUGCCCCGACAUCGCGCGCACUCGGCUAUCUUAUUUUCCGGAACAACGUUUCUCAUCCCUUAUUCAUUUGUAAAUUUUGUUUAUUUAUUUCAGUAUCUUUUUACUUAUUUAAAAUCUUUAUUGAUUAACCGCUAUUUGUCUUCGUAUCCUCCUCGUGAUUAAUAGUGUACCUAAUCCUGACCUAACCUUCAUUAAAUUUGACCCUGUUUGUCUUAUCCUUUAUUUGUUUCUAUAGCUCCCGCUAUUCAUCAUUUUAUUUCUCUCCUCUUUCAAUUUAAAAAAUGGAGAAAUAUGGUGUUCAGUCCUACGGUAUUUUAAAAUCAUUUUGAAAAAUUGUCAACCUCAAUUGCAUUUACACCAAACGAUAUAUGUAUUUAUGUAUAGUAUUAUUAUGGUAUUUCAACUAAAAAAGGGGACUGGUGUCAAGUGACAAGUGAAUUUAUUUUUAUUUUUUUAUUUAUGUUGUCAAUAACAUUUAUCGUUAAACUACCUGUCAGAUCGAGGAUCGAUGCGAACCACGUUGAGAAUCCCUGAUCUAGAAGACCAACAACGAUGCGAUACGAUAAUUGCGAUAUCAACGUGUUACAUACGGAGUAGUCUUUCCGCUCGCGUGACUUUGCGUGGCCGUGGGUAACGAUCAGCUGCUUAUCAAUAUUUAUAUAGUCGACUUUUAGCACGAAGACGUGUAGCGUAAAGUGCAAUACUUGGUAACGUGUAACAUGUUGCGUGGAAUAUACAGGGUGUAUUCUAACAUGCGAGAUCUACUUGAAUGGUAGACGAUGGCUAUUGAAUCUUUCAGAGUACCAAACAAUAACUUUAAGAAUAAAUAUUCGAAGUAUGACGCAAUAUAUGAAGUUUUUCGCUAAAUUUGUAACUUCUUUCGGUAUAUAAUUAAUCUCAGGGCCGGCGUGACCUUUUGCGGGGCCGGAUUCAAAAAUUUUCGGGGCUUGAAUUCACAUUCAAAUCCUACACUUCAAUUUUACAACGAGGAAUUAUUUAUUUACAAAUGCUAUAUAUUUUUUAUAAGAUGAAUAUUAAAUAAUAAUAUUUUGAUGAUUUUUGUUACUGCUUUCAAUUUAAUCAUCGCUACUAAAAAAAUGUCUUGCAUCUCAGCAGAAAUUGUUUCCAUUUGUUAAUGGUAUCAUCAGUCUGUAAAAAUUUAAUCAAAAUCGGUACCUUUUAAUUCAGUAAUUUUCGUAGACCGCGGAGCCUUUUAAAACGCGGGGCCGGGUUCCGGCGAACGCGCUGAACCUGCCUUGCGCCGGAGCCUGAAUAAUCUACAAUAAUAAUGAAAUAUGAAACUCAUAUUAAUUUAUAUAAACUUCUGAGCGCAAAAUCAAACAGAAAAAUAAUACACUAUAUUGGUCACCAGUAAAAAUAUAGAAAAACUGUUCACAAUACUAUUGCAGUAUAAAAUCUCUAUAAAAUACCUUAAGAAUUAUAGAAGAAAUGGAAGAAAUACUCAGAAGACCUAAAAAUUGAGUCAGAAUGCAUGAUUUUCAAACAGGUAAUCUUUUCAUCGUUCUUAAUCGACAGUCAUCGAACAGGUGCGGAACUCUGCAACGUGUAUCGAGGAACAUCGUGCCACGGGGUGGCUUUCAAACGUACAGGGGAAGAUGAAACGAUGGUGGAAGAUCGAAGUAACGCAGAAGAAUGGACGAAGCGAUGGGCGGCGUAGGGAAGGGCUCGGCGACUUUAUCGCUUAUUAAUCGUGCGACUGUGGACGAUUAUCUCGAGUGAGAAUGGCCAUUUCCACACAGAGCAAUUACGACCGGUUCGCAGGGUAUUAUUAGACGAGUGGAAUCUCGAUGGCGACCGUGGCCCGCGUAAUCGCGGCGUUGUUAAAGGCGAGUCCACGAAUCGCUGCGUCGUCCGUGUACCGAAUUGAUUUACAAAGUAUUAAUUGGCAGAGAUGUGGCGGGGCGAAUCGUGUCGCGUAAUGCCUCUUCACGAGCGUAAUUGAAAAUCAGGAAGAGGUUAACCGUGAGCAAGAUGGGAGACUGGUGAUUUCGUGACGCGAUAUAUUCUACUCGACGGCAUCUUUGCGACCACUGUGUGGACUGAAGCGUGAAAAACGUUGUGAUUUGAUCAAUUUAGCAAGAAAUCUAAGGUACUUGUGUUAAAUUUAUCAACUUAGUCAAUUCAUGCUUCUUAUGGACAUUAUUAUGUCUUUGAAAAUAGACAGUUGUGGACGAAUCAAUUUAUAUAUAUGUACCUACUCCCUUAUGCAAUAAUUCUUAAUAAAAAUUGCAGUAUAAACGUUGCCAGUAAUUUUAGCAAGAAAUCUGAGGUACCUGAGCUAAAUUUACCAACUUAGUCAACUCAUGCUUCUUAUGGACAUUAAAUAUAACAUUCUUAUACAAUAAUUCUUAAAAAAAAUUGCAGUAUAAAUGUUACCAGUAAUUCAGUAAUUUCAGCAAGAAGUCCAAACUUCAUGAGUCAAAUUUCUUGGUAGUCCUAGUGUUUAGAAAUAAUAAACUCAUCAGGUGACAGUGCUUUUUGAUGAAAUAAAAAUAAUAGCCAAAUUCGAAGAACACUUUCUCGAAAAAUACAGGAAGUCCUGCAGCAUCAACAACAUUAUUAUCAAUACAGGCUACCAUUUGAACUCUAUCUGCUUCUUCCAAUUUUUCAAUAACAACUUUGAUUACCGACCAGUCAACGAACCAUGCCAAGAACACGAAUACCUUAUGGUCCCUGAAGGAUCUCUCUGGAAUGUUAACGACCUCUUUUCUGUCCUCAUCUGUAAAUAUUCAAACCAAUGGGUAGUUGCAAAACUCUGCAGUUGGUGAACAAUGAGUCUAAACAUCGGUCUCAAACAAAAUCGAGUACGUUACACAACAAACUGGGAAUUACAUUCCGAGUCUAAUGCACACGUGCAAGGCAUGGCAAUUGACACCUUAGCAUCGAUCACACGUGUUAUCUUACUGCGGGAUCGAAUCUUUAGCAAGACAGUUCACACAAACGUCGAUCAAGUAUUUAUCAUUUUAGGUGUGUUUUCUUUUCCAAGGUCUGAUUCGAUCAGACGCAAAUAUAAUAAUUACAUCAGAUUUCCAUGACUAUCCAUUUGCUGCCAGCAAAACCUUCGACGCUCCCGCAGGCUGUAUCGCUGCAAAUAAAUAACUAGUUCCCUUCCCGAUGCAAAAUCGCACCACAGAUGAAAUCUGCCGGGUCGUCUUGAACGGUUCUGCCGGCUGGACGCCUUCAGAUGUUAUCUGACGUAGUCCUGGAUGGCUUUGCGCUUAGCAGUCUGUAAUUAAAAAGCGUUCAGAUGGAAUCGUACUUGAGAGAGGUUCUUUUCGCGAAUCCAGCAUUGGAAUCACUCGUUACUUCUGGUAUGGACGAUUUCUAGUCGUUUGGUCUUAUUGUGUGGCAAAAUGUGGAUCAUUGAAUCCUUGGACGAUCAUUUUGAUGUUUUUCGUUGGCUGGGGAUUGGCUUGAUAGUAGAUUCUUUUAUUUAUUUAUGUUUCCCAUAGUAGAUUGAUUAUUCUUUUAAUUUGUAUUAAUUUGUAAACAUAACAGUGUGAUAUUUUACUGAAGUUGAAGGUAGAAAUAUCGAUCUAACAAUAGACUCAUUGUUUCACGGUUAAAAAUCGUUCUAGUUUCGUUUUGCUGAAAAAUCCUGUGAUUGAACGGAAAUAAUAAAUUGAAAAGGUCAAAGGAUAAAAUCAAAUCAAAGGAUCAAAGAUAAAGAUUAAACGAGGACUUUUUCAAUUUCAGCUUUGGAUUUACUGUUGCGUUUGAUCACAGAUCGCUUCUCAGCUUUUUUUAAUGUAAAGUAUAUGAGUCAUUUUAUUUUUGAUGCAAAGGGUUUUCAACUGCUGUUGUUCAAUCUUUAAUUAAGGACCUGUAAGCUUUUCUAGUAUGUAUCAACGUAUGUAUUGAUUGAUCAUAUUUCAUGCUUAUUAAAUUAUUUGAAUUUUGAAAUAAAGAUCAACAAGAGUACGUUAAGUGUAACGAAAUAAUUGUUAAUACGUCCUGUAAUAUCAGAACAGUCGAGUCAAGGGUACAGUUCGAGUUGCUAAGAGGAUUACAUGCGUGAUACGCUGGGAAAAUGACUCGUGUAAUUAGUACAAAUGUCACUUUAUUUCUGAUCGAGGAUAAAGAAAAAAUGUGCAGAGAGAAGUCGAAUGAUUUAUCGCAGAUUGAUUUAAUGUGAUCAUACCUCUGUCGCAGGUGCAACGGUACACCUGCGAUAUAAAAUCGCUUCUUUUUUCUUCUACAAUAUCUUUUAUUAAAGAUUCAUUUGUAUCACAAAAACAUGU